This 442-nucleotide ribosomal RNA is filed under the name Sinopoda longshan. Its description in RNAcentral is "partial large subunit ribosomal RNA". Lineage: Eukaryota; Metazoa; Arthropoda; Arachnida; Araneae; Sparassidae. The record is from RNAcentral.
AUAUUUAAUAGAAAUAAUUAUUAAUAUAAUCUGCUCAAUGAUAAUUAAAUAGCCGCAGUUCACACUGUGCUAAGGUAGCAUAAUCACUUGUUUUUUAAUUAAAAACUAGAAUGAAAGAUUCAACAUUUCAACUAUUAUAUAAAAAUUUCAAUUUUGAAAUUUUUAUAAAUGUAAAAAAACAUUUAUUAAUAAGAAAGACGAUAAGACCCUAUCGAACUUAACUUUAGUUAAACUGGGGCAGUUUAAUAAUUAUUACUUAAUAAACAAUUUCACAUAAAUGACCUAAUUAAAUUAAUUUUAUAAAUAAGUUACCGUAGGGAUAACAGCGUAAUAAUUUUCUAUAGAUCUUAUAUAAAAAAAUGAUUACGACCUCGAUGUUGAAUUAAUUAUCUAUUACUUGUAAAAAUGUAAAAAGAAAGUCUGUUCGACUAUUAAAUAAUUA